GCGGGUUCUCCCGCCAGAGGAUACAUCAAAACUCCUGUUUUAACGGUGUUGUCUGAGCUACAAGCAACGAAUCAAAACUUUCAACAACGGAUCUCUUGGUUCUGGCAUCGAUGAAGAACGCAGCGAAAUGCGAUAAGUAGUGUGAAUUGCAGAAUUCAGUGAAUCAUCGAAUCUUUGAACGCACAUUGCGCCCCUUGGUAUCCCGAGGGGCAUGCCUGUUCGAGCGUCAUUUCACCACUCAAGCCUGGCUUGGUGUUGGGCGACGUCCCCUUUAGGGACGCGCCUUGAAACGCUCGGCGGCGUGGCACCGGCUUUAAGCGUAGCAGAAUCUUUCGCUUUGAAAGUCGGGGCCCCGUCUGCCGGAAGACCUACUCGCAAGGUUGACCUCGGAUCAGGCAGGGAUACCCGCUGAACUUAAGCAUAUCAAUAAGCUUGCUGGCUCUUAGGGGUAGUGCUCGCCUAACGUAUCUUUUUUACCUGCACUGCUUCUGUAGACCUGGAUAGCUCUCGAGGAAACUCGGUUUGAGGACUGCUGUGCGCAAGCCGGCUUUCCUUGUAAUUCCGGUCUAUGUUUUUAUAUAUACCCCUACCAGUAUGUCUCAGAAUGUUUGUUGUUGGGCUUGAAUGCCUUUAAACUUAAUACAACUUUCAACAACGGAUCUCUUGGCUCUCGCAUCNAUGAACAACGCACCGAAAUGCGAUAAGUAAUGUGAAUUGCAGAAUUCAUUGAAUCAUCGAAUCUUUGAACGCACCUUGGGCUCCUUGGUAUUCCGAGGAGCAUGCCUGUUUGAGUGUCAUGAAAUUCUCAACCUUUUCAACUUUUUCUGUUGAUCAGGCUUGGAUGUGGGAGUAUGCGGGCUUCUCAGAAGUCCGCUCUCCUGAAAUGCAUUAGCGGGGACUUUUUUUGCCGGGUUUUGUGGUGAUAAUAUUUACCCCCAUGGGGAAAACAACUUUAAUAAAGGAGGUCAACUUCCUAUCC
RNAcentral lists this ribosomal RNA (979 nucleotides) under Tricholoma sp. DL-2015. RNAcentral describes it as "eukaryotic LSU rRNA". The stretch from base 76 to 229 matches the Rfam family "5.8S ribosomal RNA". Lineage: Eukaryota; Fungi; Basidiomycota; Agaricomycetes; Agaricales; Tricholomataceae. The record is from RNAcentral.